Molecule: non-coding RNA, 989 nt
Organism: Petromyzon marinus (sea lamprey)
Lineage: Eukaryota; Metazoa; Chordata; Hyperoartia; Petromyzontiformes; Petromyzontidae
Source: RefSeq, a predicted model, not a curated record
CGUGAGAAUUUUCAUUGUCUUAUAUAUUUUAUUGUUUCCCUUCAACGUGGUGACUUUACCGAAAGAGCCAAGAAUACAAAAACAUAGUAGCUUGGUUUAAUCACGGAUGGGUGGUGGAGGGGGGGUUACACAACUCAUCACUACGCGUGGCCCCAACCCAAAAACAAUCCAACCUGCGGGUGAUGGGCAACCUUAGGGUGGUGGUGGGGGGCAACCCGUGAACCCGUGGGAGCCCCUCGUAGUGGCCGGGUCUCGGUGCGUCUCGGGCGAUGCGUGGUGGGGGGGGGGGGGGGGUGUCUCGAUGAGGAGUGCUCAAGGGCGACGUGGAGCUUGCGGCCCACUGAGGUGCAGGAGCAGCAGCAGGAGGAGGAGAGGAGGGGGGAGGAGGGGAGGGCCCUUCGCUGGACUUGAUGACCGACCAAAACAAAGUGUCCCUCGGAUAUGGAACGGGGGGGGGGGGGGGGGUGGGUUGUUGAGCAACGGGCGCGAUGCGGCCACGUUUUAACGUCGCGAAUAAACCCGACCCCCACGGGGGGGCCCAAGCCGGCAGCUGUAAAACCAAUCGGGAUUGUGCCGACUUGCCGGCUUGUGCCCCCUACCCCCCCCCCCCGCCGACGAUGGCACCGCGUGGCGAGCGGCGUCGGCGUCCUCGCGUCUCACGAUCGCUGCGGGAGCCAGCCCCUUGCGACGAGGACGUAACCGCCGCCGCCGCCGCCGCUCGACGGAUUUUAAUUUCAGAGCCUCGUCGUUACGGGGCGCGGAGGGUUCGCAGGGUGAGAUUUGACCCAGGGUGAGAUUUGACCCAGGGUGAGAUUUGACCCAGGGUGAGAUUUGACCCAGGUGUGAGAUUUGACCCAGGGUGAGAUUUGACCCAGGGGGGUUCACGUGGCCUGAUAAAGAGAUGUCGAUUUUAUUCUUACAACCCUCGUGUACUCGGAGCAUCCAGUCCUCUUUUUUUUUGACCAAAUAAAAUGCCGAGAUAAUACGGA